RNAcentral lists this ribosomal RNA (253 nucleotides) under uncultured bacterium. RNAcentral describes it as "partial 16S ribosomal RNA". It matches the Rfam family "Bacterial small subunit ribosomal RNA", at positions 524 to 776 of the family's 1533-position model. The record is from RNAcentral.
UACGUAGGGGGCUAGCGUUGUCCGGAAUCAUUGGGCGUAAAGCGCGUGUAGGCGGCCCGGUAAGUCCGCUGUGAAAGUCGGGGGCUCAACCCUCGAAUGCCGGUGGAUACUGUCGGGCUAGAGUGCGGAAGAGGCGAGUGGAAUUCCUGGUGUAGCGGUGAAAUGCGCAGAUAUCAGGAGGAACACCAAUUGCGAAGGCAGCUCGCUGGGACGUAACUGACGCUGAGACGCGAAAGCGUGGGGAGCAAACAGG